This 168-nucleotide non-coding RNA is filed under the name Anaerococcus prevotii ACS-065-V-Col13. RNAcentral's name for it is "6S / SsrS RNA". It matches the Rfam family "6S / SsrS RNA". From Rfam's summary of the family: E. coli 6S RNA was the first non coding RNA to be sequenced, but its function was unknown until recently. It consists of 184 nucleotides that fold into an extended hairpin structure with a large single-stranded internal bulge. The 6S RNA specifically associates with RNA polymerase holoenzyme containing the sigma70 specificity factor. Lineage: Bacteria; Bacillati; Bacillota; Tissierellia; Tissierellales; Peptoniphilaceae. The record is from RNAcentral.
AUCAUCCUAAGGUGUUCGGUCCAAAUUUAAACCUACAACUACUAUAAGGGAUUGCGGAGUUCUAACUUCGAUGACAAGCCUCCAAAGAGUGGAAGUCAGAGAUUUUAGACAGCUUGCCCACCUUCACAUACGGGAAGGUAUUAAAAAUAGGGCCCCCUUGGGAUUUAU